Small nuclear RNA from Nannospalax galili (Upper Galilee mountains blind mole rat), 103 nucleotides. The record is from Ensembl. NCBI's taxonomy places the organism in Eukaryota, Metazoa, Chordata, Mammalia, Rodentia, Spalacidae.
AUGCUUUCAUCAGCAGCAUGUAUACUGAAGUUGGAAACAUAAAAAGAUUAGCACAGCCCUGCACAAGAAUGAAAUGCAAAUUUGUGAAGUAGAGUUUUUGUUG